UUUCCAUUUUCUUUCAUUAUUGCCCCUCUCCCCUAACAAACUGGCCUCCAACUCAUUGUCAUUCUCGAAUAUCAAUCACCAUGGUUCAAUGCGACCUUUCAGUACUCGUCAGUUCCCAACUCCCCUAUAACCUAAUGUUCGUUUCAGGUUCCAUCAAUGGAGAUGAAUCUCAUCUCCCCUCUAGCCUGUUUUUCGAUUCUUACCUCAAUCGACCCGAUCUUGUGAGAUGGAUGGAUUGUUAAAAAAUCUAGGGUUCAAUGUCAGAACCGCACGAAGAUUCAGAAACAGAGUGGUUAUUGGGCGAAUUCGCGAGGUGGAAGUGCUGCUUGUGGGAUUGUAAGAUUCUCUACUAAAAGAUCCGGAGAGAUUGGUCGUCUUCCAAUGGAGUGGUCAAAGUGUUUGAUUCCGCUUGUUAAUUCAAAAAAGGUUAAAGUUCUUGGUAGAUGUGUGGCUGCACCAGCAAGUCUCAGCAUGAUGCAAGAGAUUAUGCUUUAUAUAAGCUUUUAUAUUCAUCAUUCGAUAUUCACUUCACUGAAGAUGGAACUUGUUCAUGGAAAAAUUGUCCAGUGUGGACUUCAGCUUUGCAUGCUUGAAAAAUGUUAUUUUCUCACGUGCUAAUCUUUGUCGUUCUAAAUUUCAGGAGGUAGAUACCGAAAAUACCAUUUUUCACGAUGCAACAAUGAGCGAGUAAGAUUUUAAUAAGCUGAUGGUUAUAAGCUUGAACCAUUGGGUGUUAAACGGGUCACUUUCAUGAACCUGGCUAACUGGAUCAAUUUCAAUAACCUGGUUCUAUGGUGUAUUUUCGCGAUCGUGGCAGCGACUUACCUACUAAAAAUAAUCCUCUACUUUGAAGCGGUCUGUCGCGAAAACUACCAUCCUAUUCGAGUAAACUUCUUUUUCGCUCCAUGGAUCACAUUACUUUUUUUAGCGAUUGGAGUUUCAUCAAAGGUGACCACAGAACUACCGCAUUUCCUAUGGAGGUAUAUCACAUCUUUCUGGGGAUCACGUAAACGAGCCAUUUAGAGGUGAAGAUGGAGUCUCAGGCGUGCUUCUACAUCACAAUUUGAACCUGCUCCCAGGAGAGGUGAACCUGAUGUAACUAGAAGAACCCCUGAUUAUUUUCUUCUGUAAAACGGAUGAUCGUGUGAGGACCUGAUGUAACUACAAGAACGAAUGCUCAUCGUGUACCGGACAUCGUUAUGAUGGUUUCCUGGUUCAAGUUACACUCUAACCUACGAUUUUGCUGUUGACUGUCCGACAAUGUAAUUUUUCAUUAUUUUGUUUGUAGGUUUUUGUGUGUAAUCUUAUGUAUAUGGACCUUGUUUCAUAUUCUUUUCUUUCGCCCACUUUUCUAUUAGUCCGACUAUAUUUUGGUGCUCACCACUUGAUCUAUUAGUACAGUCUUUUUAAUCAAUUUGUAGAAAUUUUAUGCUAACCCGUCUCUAGUUGCAUGUCUUCAAGUCGGUUUUUCGUCGACCACAUUGUUGUCAGGUUUGUUUCGUAAUAUUACUAUUAUUUUUAGUAUAAUUCUCGUAAGAAUAUGUUUGUAACACAUGGCAAGUUGGAGAUAUGUGAUUUAGAACUCAUUUAUAAUAUGCCAGCCAGCCUGUUUACAACUUGCUUGACUCGUUUACAUAAAUGGUUUAAACGUAUUGUGUUAAAAGUUACAUGGUUUGAAGUGUAUAUUAAUUAAGACUUGAUGCAUGCGAUAAAAUGGAAGCUCUGUUACAGCUAAAGAAAUGUGGGGUAAAAUGGAACAUGAUGGUCAUUUUGAUCAGGAUAAUUUCAAUAGUGGCCACACAGAUCCUUCAUCAGCUGGGGAUGCAAAUUGUGCCGCAGCGUCUGCUUCAACAUGGGUUGAACCAAAUGGGAAGGGCACUGUUGCAUGGUCUAUAGUGGCUUUCAUUAUAUAUGUUCAAGUUUGACAGUCGUGUCACACUAUGUGGCUUUCAUUAUAUCUGUUGAUCUAUAGUGCCCGCCGCUAACAACCGAGUUCCCAUUGCGUUAGAGUCCUCUAAAUCUUCAUUUUGUUCUCAUUUCAAGGUAGCUUUACUAAAAUCAUUAAUAUGUUUUUUGCUGACAUGUAACUAUGCAUGGUGUACACUGAUGUG
This is an RNA transcript of Helianthus annuus (common sunflower), 2111 nucleotides long. It is a transcript of the gene named DNA repair protein RAD5B, with no coding region annotated. The transcript has 10 exons. NCBI's taxonomy places the organism in Eukaryota, Viridiplantae, Streptophyta, Magnoliopsida, Asterales, Asteraceae. The record is from RefSeq and is a predicted model, not a curated record.